Molecule: long non-coding RNA, 435 nt
Filed under: Oncorhynchus kisutch (coho salmon)
Lineage: Eukaryota; Metazoa; Chordata; Actinopteri; Salmoniformes; Salmonidae
Description: lncRNA (ENSOKIG00005011785.1)
Source: RNAcentral
CAAAUCAGAAAUGUCUAACACAACGUCUAAUAUCUACAGCGCUGUUGGCUCGUCGUCUUCGACCUCGCGUAGGCUUAAGGACUGGUAUUGUAAGGGAUUUCCUCCUCUUCUUCCGAAGAGGAGAGGCGAAACGGAUCAGAGGACCAAUAUGCGGCGUGACAGCAGACACCAUGAAUCCUGGUCUAGUGCUCCCAGUGAACUGAUUCCUGAUGCUUCUGACAGCUCCUGAUGUGCUGCCCUUCUCCCCUGUCUCGAGAACCCAGAGCCUCGAAAGCCAAGGCUGUUUCAGGUUGCAAUUGGAUGGAAGGAAAGUUAAUUUAGCCCUGACAAUUAAUCUGCAGGAGCCAAACACCCUGUCUGGCUGUUGAAGUGUGACAGCACUGGCGAAGCAGCAGCAACAGCCAGCCUGGACGGGUGCGAUCUGUCUCUCAGCUC